This 253-nucleotide ribosomal RNA is filed under the name uncultured bacterium. RNAcentral describes it as "partial 16S ribosomal RNA". It matches the Rfam family "Bacterial small subunit ribosomal RNA", at positions 524 to 776 of the family's 1533-position model. The record is from RNAcentral.
UACGUAGGGUGCAAGCGUUGUCCGGAAUUAUUGGGCGUAAAGAGCUCGUAGGCGGUUUGUCGCGUCGAAUGUGAAAUCCCGGGGCUCAACCCCGGGCCUGCAUUCGAUACGGGCAGACUAGAGUUCGGUAGGGGAGUCUGGAAUUCCUGGUGUAGCGGUGAAAUGCGCAGAGAUGUGGAGGAACACCAGUGGCGAAGGCGACUCUUUGGCCUGUAACUGACGCUGAGGCGCGAAAGCGUGGGGAGCAAACAGG